Small nucleolar RNA from Salmo trutta (river trout), 89 nucleotides. Lineage: Eukaryota; Metazoa; Chordata; Actinopteri; Salmoniformes; Salmonidae. The record is from Ensembl.
AAUGUGGUUAAUGAUGCUCAACUUUUUUCCCCAUCUUAUCGACUAUGGUGAAAUUAGUCUGAAUAAGCCAAUUUGUCUGAAACCACAUU